UCAUUGCAUUAUAUAGGGAGAGAACAAGAUUUACAACAAUAGAGGAGGAGGAAUCAUCCCCUCUUUGGCAACUCUCAACCUCACUCUAUUUCUCUCUUUUCAGUGCUGCAAUGGCAGCUACUGUUGGCUGCCUUGGCAGCCCACUCUCUCCUACAUUUCUCACAUCUUUGGCUCUACACACUUUCUCUUAACUCUCUCAUUUUGCUCUCAACCGUAUGCCUCUAUUUAUAGGCAUCCAUGGUGCUGCUCCAUUUGUUCUUUGGUCAAUAAUGGUGGCUGCCAACUCCAGCUCUUCUUCAACAAAGGUGGCUGCCAACUCCAGCUCUUCUUCAACAAUGGUGGCUGCACCUAGCAGCCCUCUUUGACAAUGGCAAUGGCAGCCAUCCUCUUCUAGAAGAUAGGCUGUAAAUGCUCUAUGAUUGCUGCACAUAAUGACAACAAUCCUAACAAUCACCCCCUUUGCCAUUCAUGUGGGCAAUUGUCCUCUUGCUUCUUCAGCACAUGCUUGCAUUCUGCAGCUCUUCCAAGCUUACCAUUCCGAGAGCGUCUUUGGCCAAGUUUCCAGGUACUUGCCAAACCUUUCAAUCACCAGAGUCAUCCAAGCACCCCUUUGCUCACUCCAAAGGAUCACUUCAACCAGAUGGUUUGUCAUAUCUCAUCUGAAGAGUGUUUAACGCUUGUCUCUGGAACAACAUCCCCCUUCAAGCAUAUCAACCAUGCUUGGCCUGGAAUGAUUUAUCAAGCCUUACACCAAGGCUUACAACACCCCCUCAAACGGAUAUUUCCAAGUGCGACAGUCAUUGAGUAUUUUAAUGUGAUCACGAGUUCACCACUCUUCCAAGAGUCUACUCAUCCCGGAGUUGCGUCUGCCCUCUGUUCCUCCCUAGGAACCACGCCUUACUUCUCCUUGAGUCUCCCGCUCUUAGUCUCAAGAGUCCAGGUGGCUCUCCACCUUUAACCAUGGGGACAACCCAUUAAAGGUUGAUCCAUCUCUAUCUUCAUACUCUGAGUAUUACAAUGUCAUUACUGAGCUCACCACCUUGACAAGAGUCAACUUGUUCCCGGAACCUGCACAUGCCCUCUGCUCCUUCAUAGCAGUCGCGUCUUAAUGCUCCACAAGCCAUCCACUUAUUGUCCAAGACAAAUGUCUUCUAGCUCAUUGAUCUUUAGCAUGGGGGCAAUAUCCAUGAAAGUCAAUCCUGCAUUUGUCUCCAUACUCAUCAUAGCCUCCUCAUUGGCUAUACACUUGUCCACUUAUAUCUAGCCAUCACAUUGGCUCUGGGGCGUUCUGAAAUUGGGCUCCUAUCAUGGCCCUCACACCUUCUCCUGAGGUGUCUCCGCCCGUUGUCAUGGGGCGGUCCGAAAUUGGACUCAUAUCAUGGUCCUCACACCUUCCAUCUGAGGUGUCUCCUCCUGUCGUCAUGAGACGGUUUGGACUCAUAUCAUGGUCCUCACACCUUCAAUUUGAGGUGUCUCUGCCUGUCGUCAUGAGACGGUCUGAACUUGGACUCAUAUCAUGGUCCUCACACCUUCUGUCUGAGGUGUCUCCGCCUGUCGUCAUGAGACGGUCUGAACAUGGACUCAUAUCAUGGUCCUCACACCUUCCAUCCGAGGUGUCUCCGCCUGUCAUCAUGAGACGGUCUGAACUUGGACUCAUAUCAAGGUCCUCACACCUUCUCCUGAGGUGUCUCUGCUUGUCGUCAUGAGACGGUCUGUACUUGGGCUCCUUUCAUGGCCCGCACACCUUCUUGCCUGAGGUGUCUCCGCUCAUCGUCAUGUGGCGGUUUGUACUUGGGCUUGUUUUAUGGCCCACACACCUUCUGCCUGAGGUGUCUUCGUCUGUCAUGAAGCGGUCACAUCCUCCUUCAUCGGGGAUGUCUCUAGUGGCUCCAAGAUUCUCUACCACCAUGUGGACUUGGGAGAGAUCACUGCCACUGAUCACAUAGAAAGAGAGAGUUGCGGUGCACUCUUCGCAAUCUUCCAUCUCAUUUUCUAUGUUUGGAGCUUCUGUGCCUUUCUGCUUGAUAGCUCCACCCACACCAACUCUCUUUGGUGUCUUCCCCUUUCAUCGACGGUCGCACCCCCUUAAUUAGGUGCUUCUGCAACAGCUCAUCUUUCCAUCCUUGCAUGCAUUGGAAAGGUCCUCGCUUGUUGCCUUGAUCAAGAGCACAAGAGACUUCCUGUUAUACAACUUUUUCACACAGUCUCUGCUCUGAGCUUCAUCCGGGAACUCUUCUUCUCCUUGCAUCUGUUGUCUCAUUACAGUACCUCGUUGGAUCCUUCGGGUACUCCUGCACAAUCUCCGUGUGCUCUCGUGCAAUUUCGGUUCUCCAGAUUUCUCCAUAUUCUUUGCUUUUAUGUUUGACAGCAGCUCAUCCUGUCACAGCAUUUAUCCAAGUCAAAAUAGGGUGCCAAUCUUUAUCCCUUGUUGUAUUUCUCUUCCAUUAUCAGGGUCUUCAUUAAUUCUCCCUUCGAGAAAUUACAGUCAUCGAAUCUAACUUCUUUGGAGAAAUCACCACUUCCAUCAGAUCCUUGAACAUACGGAACCCAACUGUUCCUUUGUGCCGUCAUCUUGCUAGUCUUCAACAGUUUCAUUACAAACUGUUACAUAUACAAAAAUAGUACUGUGUGGAUGAUCCUUCAACUAAGCAAGUUCCCAGGAAAGAUUUGGAGGGGUCACACUGGUCCCGCUUAAAACCCAAUCUCCUAGACAGAACUUCUUAGAACGUAUCUAUCCACCGUACUGCCUUUUCGUAUAUACAACCAUUUGCUAGCUUUGUUGCGACUUUCCUUUACAAGUGAUCUGGGGUAUCCCGGUUUUAUACCUGAUUUCUCAACAUCUGGCGAGACUACCAGUUCUUAGAUUCGUCAAGAUUGGUCUUCAUCAAUUUCCACUCUCCACCUCAAAUCGUCCACAUGAUCGGGUGUCCAGAGUAUCCCAAUUUUGCCUUCCUUCAAAGCAAUUAAAAUUUCUCCCCACUUAGCAGUUCAGCACAUGUAAUUGGGCAAACAUGUGCACCUUCUCCUUCUUCAUCUCCAUCGACCACCAUGAUGACCUUCAGAUGCCUCCUGAUCGGGCAAUCUCUUUUGUUAAUUCACCACCACCACUUUCGGUCUCAAUCUCAAUGAUCGGACCGUACCAUUGCAUUCGGAACGAUCAAAUUAGCUGGAAACAAGUCUGAAAUCAUCCAAAUCGCAUUUCAGACGGCUAAGAUUUGAUCAAAACAAUUCUGGCCUGAUGAACGGCCCAGAUUCAAUCUCAGAUCCGGUUGCACAUAGACUCUGCUGCACAGAAUCUUAUCCCUCGGCUCGCGGCUCGGCUCGGCUUCACAACAGCUCGGCUCAACUUGGCUCGGCUCAGCUCGCGGCUGAUGAUGUGGCAGGUGGGUCCCACUUUGCUGACGCGUCUGCUGACUGGUCGAUGAUGUGGCUGCUGACAUGGCAUGCCUACUGUGCAUGCUGACAUCACAAUUAUGUCAUGCUGACGUCAUCCAUAUCUGGGUCAGUCACAUGGGUCGGGUCAACUGGUAUUCGGGUCGGGUCAACUUGUAUUCGGGUCGGGUCAGCCCAUCCGGGCGAAGAAGACGCGUGGGGCGCGUGGGCAGACGCCCUGCCGGAGAGUGAUGGAGAGUGCGGCCAUGUCCGACGUCCGAUUUUGACGCCGUUUUCACCAGUGGCUUCGUCUCGGCCUCCUCUACACAGUGGUAUGGUCAAAACACCAUUUUGAGAACUUUCAUUUUUGAGCAAAAAUCAAACACCCCUUUAACCCAUGUGCUCUGAUACCAAUUGUAGGGAAUUCCGACCGGUGAUGUACUGAUAUUUGCUCAUAGGAGGUAAAGCACACUGACACAAUAUUUAACGUGGUUCGGCAAAUUGCCUACAUCCACGGGAGAAGUCAUUGCAUUAUAUAGGGAGAGAACAAGAUUUACAACAAUAGAGGAGGAGGAAUCAUCCCCUCUUUGGCAAGUCUCAACCUCACUCUAUUUCUCUCUUUUCAGUGCUGCAAUGGCAGCUACUGUUGGCUGCCUUGGCAGCCCACUCUCUCCUACAUUUCUCACAUCUUUGGCUCUACACACUCUCUCUUAACUCUCUCAUUUUGCUCUCAACCGUAUGCCUCUAUUUAUAGGCAUCCAUGGUGCUGCUCCAUUUGUUCUUUGGUCAAUAAUGGUGGCUGCCAACUCCAGCUCUUCUUCAACAAAGGU
This 4202-nucleotide long non-coding RNA is filed under the name Populus trichocarpa (black cottonwood). RNAcentral's name for it is "long non-coding RNA (PTRI_LNC003724)". Lineage: Eukaryota; Viridiplantae; Streptophyta; Magnoliopsida; Malpighiales; Salicaceae. The record is from RNAcentral.